RNAcentral lists this ribosomal RNA (1313 nucleotides) under Escherichia coli. Its description in RNAcentral is "bacterial LSU rRNA". It matches the Rfam family "Bacterial large subunit ribosomal RNA", at positions 610 to 1908 of the family's 2925-position model. The record is from RNAcentral. Lineage: Bacteria; Pseudomonadati; Pseudomonadota; Gammaproteobacteria; Enterobacterales; Enterobacteriaceae.
GUAUAAUGGGUCAGCGACUUAUAUUCUGUAGCAAGGUUAACCGAAUAGGGGAGCCGAAGGGAAACCGAGUCUUAACUGGGCGUUAAGUUGCAGGGUAUAGACCCGAAACCCGGUGAUCUAGCCAUGGGCAGGUUGAAGGUUGGGUAACACUAACUGGAGGACCGAACCGACUAAUGUUGAAAAAUUAGCGGAUGACUUGUGGCUGGGGGUGAAAGGCCAAUCAAACCGGGAGAUAGCUGGUUCUCCCCGAAAGCUAUUUAGGUAGCGCCUCGUGAACUCAUCUCCGGGGGUAGAGCACUGUUUCGGCAAGGGGGUCAUCCCGACUUACCAACCCGAUGCAAACUGCGAAUACCGGAGAAUGUUAUCACGGGAGACACACGGCGGGUGCUAACGUCCGUCGUGAAGAGGGAAACAACCCAGACCGCCAGCUAAGGUCCCAAAGUCAUGGUUAAGUGGGAAACGAUGUGGGAAGGCCCAGACAGCCAGGAUGUUGGCUUAGAAGCAGCCAUCAUUUAAAGAAAGCGUAAUAGCUCACUGGUCGAGUCGGCCUGCGCGGAAGAUGUAACGGGGCUAAACCAUGCACCGAAGCUGCGGCAGCGACGCUUAUGCGUUGUUGGGUAGGGGAGCGUUCUGUAAGCCUGUGAAGGUGUACUGUGAGGUAUGCUGGAGGUAUCAGAAGUGCGAAUGCUGACAUAAGUAACGAUAAAGCGGGUGAAAAGCCCGCUCGCCGGAAGACCAAGGGUUCCUGUCCAACGUUAAUCGGGGCAGGGUGAGUCGACCCCUAAGGCGAGGCCGAAAGGCGUAGUCGAUGGGAAACAGGUUAAUAUUCCUGUACUUGGUGUUACUGCGAAGGGGGGACGGAGAAGGCUAUGUUGGCCGGGCGACGGUUGUCCCGGUUUAAGCGUGUAGGCUGGUUUUCCAGGCAAAUCCGGAAAAUCAAGGCUGAGGCGUGAUGACGAGGCACUACGGUGCUGAAGCAACAAAUGCCCUGCUUCCAGGAAAAGCCUCUAAGCAUCAGGUAACAUCAAAUCGUACCCCAAACCGACACAGGUGGUCAGGUAGAGAAUACCAAGGCGCUUGAGAGAACUCGGGUGAAGGAACUAGGCAAAAUGGUGCCGUAACUUCGGGAGAAGGCACGCUGAUAUGUAGGUGAAGCGACUUGCUCGUGGAGCUGAAAUCAGUCGAAGAUACCAGCUGGCUGCAACUGUUUAUUAAAAACACAGCACUGUGCAAACACGAAAGUGGACGUAUACGGUGUGACGCCUGCCCGGUGCCGGAAGGUUAAUUGAUGGGGUUAGCGCAAGCGAAGCUCU